Small nucleolar RNA from Camelus dromedarius (Arabian camel), 130 nucleotides. The record is from Ensembl. Lineage: Eukaryota; Metazoa; Chordata; Mammalia; Artiodactyla; Camelidae.
GUCGAGGUCUGUCCCAACAGGCUUUUUCUGUGGAUCUACAUUGUUGGAAACGCCUCACAGAAUAACUAUGUGGUUUCCUUUACUCACAGAACUGCAUGUUAGAUCUGUGGGAAAGAACUACAAGACAGAG